Molecule: long non-coding RNA, 2733 nt
Organism: Leucoraja erinaceus (little skate)
Lineage: Eukaryota; Metazoa; Chordata; Chondrichthyes; Rajiformes; Rajidae
Exons: 3
Source: RefSeq, a predicted model, not a curated record
UCCUUUCUUGUACGCUCAUUUCUCAAACAGUUCCAUAUUCCCUCUAUCCCUUCCACCCAUCUCUCCUAGUUUCAUAUUUCCAUUCUCUCCUUAUUUGGCAUGUUGUCUCUUUCACCUUGAGCCUUUGGCACUCACUCCAUCCAUAUGCUCAUCACACCUCGCAUGUACCACCUAUUUCCUUGCUGGCUUUGUCCUGCAUGCCUCUGCCUCUUUUCACUCUCUUUCAUCAGUCUGAGGAAGGUUGCUGACCUGAGGUGUCAUCUGUCCAUUCCACUUGCAGUCAGGCAGAUUGUACCUGAACUGCUGAAUGCCUCCAGCACUUUGUCUUUGAACAGAGCCAUGUUCACCGGUUGUAGUUGGCUUCUGUUACAGGGAAAGUAUAGUUUAAUAUUUUUGACUGAAGCUCUGGGUGGUUGGGUUUUUCCAGGUAUUUUUAACCAACUGAAUGUUUGUUUAUAUCUAACGUUUAAAUGUCCACUUGAAGAGUGAGGCAUCGGGCAACAAUGUUGGGAGAACACUUGUGAAAUAUAAUGGGUAUUUGAUGUAACUGGUGUUGCUGUGCUUGUAAAUUGUGUCAGUGCGGGAGCAACUCGAUGGGUGCAGCAAUAUCGCUGGAGAACAUGGAUUGGUAAUUCCGGGUUGGGACUCUUCAGACCUUAAUCUCUUAAAGUAGUCUAAAUAUAUAGGACUACCUUAAUAUUGGUCCAACCUGCAGGAGUCCUGACUGCAGAGACACAAUGGUCCUGGUUGGAGAUACAUCUCCAGGCAUUGUCCACAUGUCCAAGUGUUUUUACCUUGAGGACUAGAAUCUUCUCACCCAGGACUGUCCAACCAACUGAGUUACUCCCGCACUUUGUCUAAUUGUAGAGAAGGACGUUGGAACAUUUCAAACAUUAAAAUGUUAAUUUGAUUUUUCAGCAUCAAUUCUUCCUGGAUUUGGUCUUUAUGGAUGUCAUAGGAGAUAAGCUCGCAGUCUCUGGUAGAGACCGAUGUCGGGAAGCUCCAAAGAACGCAAAAGGUUCGACUAGACCCCGAGUGAGCUGGGAUUCAACCCCCCGAUGCAGGACCCCCGACACGGAUGGCCCGACCGCCUGCUACGGGAGUCAAGAUCAUUCCAUCAACGGAAGGCCCGAGGCCCCAGACCGCAGGAGGCCAAAGAAGGGAAGAGUUUGAACUUUGUGUUCUGUUGCUUUUUAUUGGUAUGAGUGUCUGGUAAAUGAAAUUCCUCGUGUUGCAAAGCAUACAUGUUUUACACGAGCCACCCCAUGUUUGAAGCAUGAGUGUAUAUAUACAGUGCUGGAGGAACUUGGUGGGUUUGACAACCCCCUGAAGGAUUGGACAGAUGACUAAUCGGGUCAGGAGCUCUCGGUCUGAAAUACGGGGGAGAGCUGGAAAUGAGGUGGGGGUUGGGCACUGCCUGACAAGUGAUGGGUGGAUUACAGGUGAGUGGGUGAUGGGCAAAUGGAUGGAGUAAGUGCCAAAGGCUGAAGGUGAACGUGAUAAAACGUGUUGGAUAAGGACAAGAACUGAAAUGUAAAACUAGGGUGAGGUGGGGUUGGAAGGUAAAAGGGAAAUAUGGGACGGUUGAGAGAUGAGCAUACUUCCCUUCGUUAACCAACUAACCAUAACCAACUAACCAUAACCAACUAACCAUAACCAACUAACCAUAACCAACUAACCAUAACCAACUAACCAUAACCAACUAGUCCUUUCUUGUACGCUCAUUUCUCAAACAGUUCCAUAUUCCCUCUAUCCCUUCCACCCAUCUCUCCUAGUUUCAUAUUUCCAUUCUCUCCUUAUUUGGCAUGUUGUCUCUUUCACCUUGAGCCUUUGGCACUCACUCCAUCCAUAUGCUCAUCACACCUCGCAUGUACCACCUAUUUCCUUGCUGGCUUUGUCCUGCAUGCCUCUGCCUCUUUUCACUCUCUUUCAUCAGUCUGAGGAAGGUUGCUGACCUGAGGUGUCAUCUGUCCAUUCCACUUGCAGUCAGGCAGAUUGUACCUGAACUGCUGAAUGCCUCCAGCACUUUGUCUUUGAACAGAGCCAUGUUCACCGGUUGUAGUUGGCUUCUGUUACAGGGAAAGUAUAGUUUAAUAUUUUUGACUGAAGCUCUGGGUGGUUGGGUUUUUCCAGGUAUUUUUAACCAACUGAAUGUUUGUUUAUAUCUAACGUUUAAAUGUCCACUUGAAGAGUGAGGCAUCGGGCAACAAUGUUGGGAGAACACUUGUGAAAUAUAAUGGGUAUUUGAUGUAACUGGUGUUGCUGUGCUUGUAAAUUGUGUCAGUGCGGGAGCAACUCGAUGGGUGCAGCAAUAUCGCUGGAGAACAUGGAUUGGUAAUUCCGGGUUGGGACUCUUCAGACCUUAAUCUCUUAAAGUAGUCUAAAUAUAUAGGACUACCUUAAUAUUGGUCCAACCUGCAGGAGUCCUGACUACAGAGACACAAUGGUCCUGGUUGGAGAUGCAUCUCCAGGCAUUGUCCACAUGUCCAAGUGUUUUUACCUUGAGGACUAGAAUCUUCUCACCCAGGACUGUCCAACCAACUGAGUUACUCCCGCACUUUGUCUAAUUGUAGAGAAGGACGUUGGAACAUUUCAAACAUUAAAAUGUUAAUUUGAUUUUUCAGCAUCAAUUCUUCCUGGAUUUGGUCUUUAUGGAUGUCAUAGGAGAUAAGCUCGCAGUCUCUGGUAGAGACCGAUGUCGGGAAGCUCCAAAGAACGCAAAAGGUUCGACUA